CAGUAGCCGCGGGAAUACGAAGGGGGCUAGCGUUGCUCGGAAUUACUGGGCGUAAAGGGAGCGUAGGCGGAUCGUUUAGUCAGGGGUGAAAUCCCGGGGCUCAACCUCGGAACUGCCUUUGAUACUGGCGAUCUUGAGUGCAGAAGAGGAGAGUGGAAUUCCACGUGUAGCGGUGAAAUGCGUAGAGAUGUGGAGGAACACCAGUGGCGAAGGCGACUCUCUGGUCUGUAACUGACGCUGAGGAGCGAAAGCGUGGGGAGCGAACAGGAUUAGAUACCCCCGUAGUCCCUGUCUCUUAUAC
RNAcentral lists this ribosomal RNA (301 nucleotides) under uncultured bacterium. Its description in RNAcentral is "partial 16S ribosomal RNA". It matches the Rfam family "Bacterial small subunit ribosomal RNA", at positions 509 to 807 of the family's 1533-position model. The record is from RNAcentral.